Phragmites australis (common reed) is the source of this 1524-nucleotide long non-coding RNA. RefSeq lists it as uncharacterized. Lineage: Eukaryota; Viridiplantae; Streptophyta; Magnoliopsida; Poales; Poaceae. The transcript has 5 exons. The record is from RefSeq and is a predicted model, not a curated record.
CUUCCCCAUCCAUCCGCCAUCCCAACCCCGAGCACGCGCUCCCGCCGCGCCCCGUGGCCUCCGCUUGUCACCCUUCCGGUCGGCGGCGGCCAUCGGACGCGAGGUGCCGCGCCCACUCCGCCAGCGCGGCGUACAUGCGAUGUGAACGCCGAUCGUGCAGGUCCUCGCAAGCGACUCGCGGAUUGCCGGAUCAUUUGCGUGGUUGGUCUGGAGCACAAGAAUUUAACAAAAUAAAUGCGAUUUUUAUUUCCAGAAAGCAGUUUAUUUUCUAUAGGAAAAAAUGUUUUUGUAUAGAGAAAGAUGCCACUGAUUCGUUACUGAGAUUGACUCAUGAGCAGGGGCCAUGACCACUAAGGUCCAUUGGGCAUGAGUAGAAAAGGAGCAAACAAGGAAUUCUUUUAUUGCCACUGUUAUAGCGACAUCGAAUAGGCGCGAAGAGUACUGAAAUAGAUUAUACACUGGUCCAUUUUGGAACACAGCGCCACGGCCAUAAAUGUCUACUGGGCACGAGCAGAAAAAAAACAAACAAGGAUUUUUGUCAUCGCCACUGAUCAUAAUCCUGAAGAUGCUACCCUCAGUUUAGAUUCUACUGCAAUAAUCAUGGAAACGAUGUCAUGGCCCCAUCAUACAACAAGAUCCUAGCAGUAAAUACAUUGGGAGACUCGCAUCCUUGCCUUAAGUACAGCGGUACAGGUAGGAACAUGCUCAAUACUACAAUGGAAGCAGGGACUCCAGAGGAUGCAAGUGCUUAUAAAUUCCACCUAUUUCUUUCAGGUGCCAGCCUGCCAGGACAAUGGAGCAGGAGAGGCAGCGCAGUAGUGGUACUCGUUUGUCUGAAGGUGCAUGUCCAGCUUAAUGCUGAGGGAUAGCACAGCCUGCCACCAGCAGCAGGCAGCCAAUCUGCAAGCAGAUUCCAGAUCUUUUGGCUGCCUUGAUUAUUUUCGCAGAGCGAGCAGAGAUGCAAAUGGAUGCGAGGUGUGGGCAAAACCAAACAGAUAAGUGCAUGCACAUCGCUGACACAAAGAGAUGGAAAGGCAGGGGACGGGAGUGUCCUUAAAAAGCAUGCACGCACACACACAUCUCCUUGUUUUCGUUUCUAAAAAACUUUUUCUCAUUGUUUUCUUGCGCUGUUCUUUUUGCUAGAUCACAACGAUGCAUGCUGCAGUGCUGAUUGAUCGAUAUGGCAUGUGCAUGCUGCUGAUCAAAACCCAAGCCUUAAAGUUCCCUUGGACACAUUUGCCACGCUUUGUUGCAUUUGCUCAAGCAAAGGGAAAGGUGAGCUGGUUGCGCCAGAUAUGUUCUCGUAGAGCCUGGUAGGUAAGAGUAACUGGCCUCCUAGUCCUGCAAGAGGCCUUGUUUCUUUGCUACAAUUGUAAAUCCAUACGUCCACCGCAGUGCCUGGGAUGGAAUGAAGCCAUGAUUGGUGUUGUUGGUUAGUACGACUUAGCAAACAUAUGCAUGAGGUCAUGCAUCUUUUUUAUAAUUAUAAUUAUGUAGUGGGCAAUGUGCAUACAUUGGUUUGGA